Mercenaria mercenaria is the source of this 2391-nucleotide long non-coding RNA. RefSeq lists it as uncharacterized. Lineage: Eukaryota; Metazoa; Mollusca; Bivalvia; Venerida; Veneridae. The record is from RefSeq and is a predicted model, not a curated record. The transcript has 3 exons.
GCCCUAGGGAAAAACCAAGACCACUUUUCUAUGGUACAACAUGGAUGUUACAUCCAAUUUUUAGAUAUAUUUUGACAUAACUUUACCUGGUAAGAAUUUUUUGUGGAUUUUUUUUUUUUAUUAUUUCUUCUUUUUUGUUGUUCCUGUCCUUUGGACUUCAAUAGUCAAGUUCUUUAAAUUUUGCUCCCAUCCUCUGAUGUAACCCUUCGGGCAUAUAUUGCCCCACUUGGCGGCGCUCUUGUUGAAAUAUAAUUUUACAUUAAUUUAAUGCAACCAUAAAAGUUAAUGUGCCACAAAUAUUAAUGUUAAUUUGCUUGUUGAAAUAUAAUUUUACAUUAAUGCAACUAUGAAAGUUAAUGUGCCACAAAUAUUGACGUUUUCACAAUAUUUUUUUAAGGCUCAGUAUCAAAGAAUUCCUUAAACUUAAUCAACCUUAGUCUUUAAAAUAGACAUUUGGCAAAAUUGAAGUGAGAGACUUACCUUGAAAUUAGAACAUUGACAGACAUAACAUUUUUAGUGCUACAUUUUAUUCUAGGUUGAUAAGUCAUCCUGUGGCACUAACUCCAUUGAAAAGUGCAUGUUUAUUGCUGUAUGAGGUGUUGUCCGAGAGCAGAGCAAACAGUAGUCCCGGCAGAGACUUGGCAGAGUUCAAGGUUCAGACAUAUGUAACUUGUAGUGGCAAAUGAUCUUGUUUAGAACACCAAGUUACCGUUGAGACUUUAGAUUCUAUUGCUGUCAUUAUCAGUAAAAUUUGUCACUAUUUCCGUGAAGAAAAAAACAUGGAAAGGAGCCGGUUAUUUGGCUGAAUUUACUGAUGAAACAGUUCUUGACCACUACAGUAGAUAUGUCUCGGAGUGUUGGAGGAAAGUAUUGAUGCAACGCUGACAGAAGUGAAGGAAAACAACUUACAACACCUUUGCAGUAAUCUACAAAACACUAUUUACAAUAACAUUUGCAACAACAGAAAUAUCUUGUGAUAAAACAGCAAGGCUUCAUUUAUUUCAAAACAAUAACAUCAGUAGAUGACUUUAGAACCUACAUGUACAUUAAGGAGACACAUCUUGUACUGAGAAGAAACAUCUCUAGCUAGGACAUCAUAAAUUAUCUAAGGUUUCUGAGAGAAGUGUGCAUAGGUGACUUAGUUUCAUGUGGAAGUGAAAAUGUUAAAGCUAGUGCUUGCAACUUAAGAAAGCUGUAUCACAAUUUUUGUGCCCCCCCCCCCCCACACACACACACACACACACACACGAGUGGAGUGUUGGGGGCAUAUAGAUUUGCUCUUGUCCGUUCUUCCGAGAAUGUUGUGUCGCGCCUAGCUACAAAAGUAUUUGACAUAGAGUCACAAAACUUUACAGGAAUGUUUGUCAGCAUGUGUAGUUUUGCACCUGGGGCUUCGUGUCUGGAUUCAUUCAGUCAUGUAGGAGUUAUGGCCCCUGACUUAGUAAAAAAUUGGUCAUUUUAAUGUUGUGUCGUGCGUAGCUACAAAAGUAUUUGACCUAGAAACACCAAAGUGUACAGGAAUGUUGGUCAGCAUGCGCAGUUGUGCACCUGGGGUUUUACGUCCGGAUUCAUUCAGUUGUGUAGGAGUUAUGGCCCCUGACUUAGUUAAAAAUUGGUCAUUUUAUUGUUGUGUCAUACAUAGCUCCAAAAGUAUUUGACCUAGAGUCACCAAAGUUUACAGGAAUGUUGGUCAGCAUGUGCAGUUGUGCACCUGGGGUUUCGCCUCUGGAUUCAUUCAGUCGUGUAGGAGUUAUGGCCCCUGACUUAGUUAAAAAUUGGUCAUUUUAAUGUUGUGUCACACGUGGCUCCAAAAGUAUUUGACCUAGAGUCACCAAAGUUUACAGGAAUUUGGUCAGCAUGUGCAGUUGUGCACCUGGGGUUUCACGUCCGGAUUCAUUCAGUAUUGAAGGAGUUACGGCCCCUGACCUAGGAAAAAAUUGUCAUUUUAAUGUUUUGUCGCACGUAGCUCCGGAAAUAUUUUACCUACAGUCAUUAUUUCACUACACAAGACCAGACUUCUUGUCCAGACUUACUCAAAAAAAAGUUUGUGAAACAUGUAUGUUAAAAUGUACUUUACCUGGAAUCAUAAAACAUUAGAGGAUUGUUUUAUAGCCUAUGAAGUGUUCUCUUUAGGAUUUUACUCAGCUAGGCCAGAGUUAUCGCCAACUAAGUGAAAAAUACACAUAAGGUUCUUAAAAUUUUGUGUUGCAAACAUUUUAGAAAAUUGUUUAACCUGAGUCAUUAAACCAUGUUACAGUGGCAGAAUUGGGGGCACCUGUGUCCUAUGGACACACAUCUAGUUUGUAUUUACAUGUAUUUAAUGUCUUUUGCCAUGUUUACUUUGAAAUUUUUUGAAUAGUUUAAUUUUAUUAAACGUUAAUCAAAAACAGA